AUGGAAAGUGGGCUUUCAGAAACUGGCAUUGGCACAUGCCAAGAACUUUGGAGAAAGCAUUCUAGAAGCCAGGGGGUAGAGAAAGAAGGGUUAAUGGAUAGACAACUGUUACUUGGUACUUGGUCUUUGGUCUUGGUCUUGAACUGCCAUUUUGAUCCUGGUGCUGCCCAAACAGAGGGAGGAAGAGUUGCUUCUAGAACCUUUUCCUAUCUCAAGUCUUUGGAGAACAAAGGAAAACCCUUCAAUACUUCCCUGUGGUUCCUGAUCAGCAAAGAGCAGUUUGGAGCAGUUCUGGUUAUCCCUGUUGUCUUAUUCUAAUACCACAUGUGCAAAGACUAAAUAUUCUAUGUUUUAUAACCAUGGGGAGAAAGUGGUGCAAGAAAAAAAGCUGAGGUAGGUCUAUUAUUUACUCCCUUAGUGACACAAAUAAGAAAAUAAGUCAUCAAUGGGGAAAAAACU
Molecule: long non-coding RNA, 459 nt
Filed under: Monodelphis domestica (gray short-tailed opossum)
Lineage: Eukaryota; Metazoa; Chordata; Mammalia; Didelphimorphia; Didelphidae
Description: lncRNA (ENSMODG00000035470.2)
Source: RNAcentral